Long non-coding RNA from Lutra lutra (Eurasian river otter), 839 nucleotides. RefSeq lists it as uncharacterized. The record is from RefSeq and is a predicted model, not a curated record. The transcript is spliced from 3 exons. NCBI's taxonomy places the organism in Eukaryota, Metazoa, Chordata, Mammalia, Carnivora, Mustelidae.
CAAAGUCCAGGCAUGUCUGGGCUUGUCUCCUGAGCGUUGGGGCACCAAUCUAUCCGGGCCUAUUUGCAUAACGAUAAUGAAGAGUCCCCACAGUAUAGAGUUAAUUCUAAGGGAGGAAAGAACCACACAAGUGUAGUGUGAUCUUGCGGUAGGGGAAAGAGGAGAAGAGUCUGCCCCCGAUCUGCCGGCACAGAUUUUUUUAACAUUCUCUGGGUCUUCUGUGAUCCCAGUGGAGAACAGAUAGAAUGUGAGGAAAAAUCAGUGGAUCGGUUUUCAUUAAGGCUGAAGGAUUCUGCCACCUUCUCCUGAACCCAUGCUGGGGGAGGUCUCACUGUCUGAUGGCUUUAAGUCUCACACAUUUUAAAUCCUCAAGGGCUGUGCCCUUGGACGAUGAUACCCUCGCCGAGGAACUGAUACCACCACAGUUUGACUGGGGUGAUGGAUUUUGAGAGGAAGAACCCAGAGGUGAAAUGUCCUUCUCAUCCUCUCAUAUUGGAAGUGUGUGGUGUUGCAGUGUCUUAUCACUGCUGAUGUCGGUCUCGGUCACCUGGCUGAGGAGGAGCCACACCUUGCACAUGGAUACACUUUACUACACCAGCAGGAGGAAGGAAGUUUUCCUCCUACCUUGGCAGCAGUGAAACUGAUGGGAGACUCACAGCUCACCUAACGAGAAGCCAUUAUACUUCAGCCUCCCAGGUUACUCCAGUGGACUCUUUGUUUAUGCCAACAUUCCCAAUUUCCUGCUUUCCUCUAUAAAGAGCAAUCCUUUCCUUUGUGUGGCAGACAUGCCUAUAGUUUUGCGAUAGCUUGCUUGCUGUGGAUUGAAGUUUUCUGCUAUU